GCGGGUAUGGCGAAACUAGAAGACGCACUGGGUUUAGGACCCAGCGGCCGCAAGGUCGUGGGGGUGCAAAUCCCUCUACCCGCA
RNAcentral lists this transfer RNA (84 nucleotides) under Candidatus Wolfebacteria bacterium. Its description in RNAcentral is "tRNA-Leu". It matches the Rfam family "tRNA". Rfam says of the family: Transfer RNA (tRNA) molecules are approximately 80 nucleotides in length. Their secondary structure includes four short double-helical elements and three loops (D, anti-codon, and T loops). Lineage: Bacteria; Candidatus Wolfeibacteriota. The record is from RNAcentral.